Molecule: transfer RNA, 67 nt
Filed under: Anomalurus beecrofti (Beecroft's scaly-tailed squirrel)
Lineage: Eukaryota; Metazoa; Chordata; Mammalia; Rodentia; Anomaluridae
Description: tRNA-His
Rfam family: tRNA
About the family: Transfer RNA (tRNA) molecules are approximately 80 nucleotides in length. Their secondary structure includes four short double-helical elements and three loops (D, anti-codon, and T loops).
Source: RNAcentral
GUAGAUAUAGUUUAUAAAAACAUUAGACUGUGAACCUAAAAUCAGAAGACUAAUCUUCUUAUCUACC